RNAcentral lists this ribosomal RNA (502 nucleotides) under uncultured Glomeromycotina. Its description in RNAcentral is "partial small subunit ribosomal RNA". It matches the Rfam family "Eukaryotic small subunit ribosomal RNA", at positions 591 to 1092 of the family's 1831-position model. The record is from RNAcentral. Lineage: Eukaryota; Fungi; Glomeromycota.
CCAAUAGCGUAUAUUAAAGUUGUUGCAGUUAAAAAGCUCGUAGUUGAACCUCGGGGUCUACCCAUUGGUCAGGCUUAAUUGUCUGCACUGGUGAGAUGGAUCUCUACCUUCUGAGGAACUUUCAUGCCAUUUAUUUGGUGUGAUGGGAAAUCAGGACUGUUACUUUGAAAAAAUUAGAGUGUUUAAAGCAGACUAUCGUCUGAAUACAUUAGCAUGGAAUAAUGAAAUAGGACGGACUGAUUCUAUUUCGUUGGUUUCUAGGAUCACCGUAAUGAUUAAUAGGGAUAGUUGGGGGCAUUAGUAUUCAAUUGUCAGAGGUGAAAUUCUUGGAUUUAUUGAAGACUAACUACUGCGAAAGCAUUUGCCAAGGAUGUUUUCAUUAAUCAAGAACGAAAGUUAGGGGAUCGAAGACGAUCAGAUACCGUCGUAGUCUUAACCAUAGACUAUGCCGACUAGGGAUCGGAUGAUGUUAAUUUUUUAAUGACUCAUUCGGCGCCUUACG